This 502-nucleotide ribosomal RNA is filed under the name uncultured Actinomycetes bacterium. Its description in RNAcentral is "bacterial SSU rRNA". It matches the Rfam family "Bacterial small subunit ribosomal RNA", at positions 8 to 522 of the family's 1533-position model. Lineage: Bacteria; Bacillati; Actinomycetota; Actinomycetes. The record is from RNAcentral.
AGAGUUUGAUCAUGGCUCAGGACGAACGCUGGCGGCGUGCUUAACACAUGCAAGUCGAACGGUAAGGCCCCUUCGGGGGUACACGAGUGGCGAACGGGUGAGUAACACGUGAGCAACCUGCCCUUGACUCCGGGAUAACAGUUGGAAACAGCUGCUAAUACCGGAUACGACCUUCGAUGACAUCAUCUGGAGGUGGAAAGCGCUUUAGCGGUCAAGGAUGGGCUCGCGGCCUAUCAGCUUGUUGGUGAGGUAACGGCUCACCAAGGCUUCGACGGGUAGCCGGCCUGAGAGGGCGACCGGCCACACUGGGACUGAGAUACGGCCCAGACUCCUACGGGAGGCAGCAGUGGGGAAUAUUGCACAAUGGGCGCAAGCCUGAUGCAGCAACGCCGCGUGCGGGAUGACGGCCUUCGGGUUGUAAACCGCUUUCAGUUCCGACGAAGCGCAAGUGACGGUAGGAACAGAAGAAGGACCGGCCAACUACGUGCCAGCAGCCGCGGUG